This 837-nucleotide ribosomal RNA is filed under the name Hypoxylon sp. Its description in RNAcentral is "partial large subunit ribosomal RNA". It matches the Rfam family "Eukaryotic large subunit ribosomal RNA", at positions 71 to 952 of the family's 3401-position model. The record is from RNAcentral. Lineage: Eukaryota; Fungi; Ascomycota; Sordariomycetes; Xylariales; Hypoxylaceae.
GGGAUUGCCCUAGUACCGGCGAGUGAAGCGGCAACACCUCAAAUUUUGAAUCUGGCCUCGGGUCCGAGUGUAUUGUAGAGGAUGCUUAGUGCGAUGCUUCGAGUUCCUGAACGGGACGCAAAAGAGGUGAAGGCCCCGUACGGUUGGACACUACCCUGUAUAUAGCUCUUCGACGAGUCGAGUAGUUUGGGAAUGCUGCUCUAAAUGGGAGGUAAAUUCUUCUAAGCUAAAUACCGGCCAGAGACCGAUAGCGCACAAGUAGAGUGAUCGAAAGAUGAAAAGCACUUUGAAAAGAGGGUUAAAUAGCACGUGAAAUUGUUGAAAGGGAAGCGUUUGCGACCAGACUUUUCCGGGGGGAUCAUCCGGUGUUCUCACCGGUGCACUUCGCCCGGUUUAGGCCAGCAUCGGUUCUCUUAGGGGGAUAAAGGCUUGGGGAACGUAGCUCCUUCGGGAGUGUUAUAGCCCCUUGCGUAAUACCCCUCGGGGGACCGAGGAUCGCGCUCUGCAAGGAUGCUGGCGUAAUGGUCGUCAACGACCCGUCUUGAAACACGGACCAAGGAGUCGAACAUUUGUGCGAGUGUUUGGGUGUUAAACCCUCACGCGUAAUGAAAGUGAACGGAGGUGAGAGCCCUUACGGGUGCAUCAUCGACCGAUCCUGAUGUCUUCGGAUGGAUUUGAGUAAGAGCAUAACUGUUCGGACCCGAAAGAUGGUGAACUAUGCGUGGAUAGGGUGAAGCCAGAGGAAACUCUGGUGGAGGCUCGCAGCGGUUCUGACGUGCAAAUCGAUCGUCAAAUCUGCGCAUGGGGGCGAAAGACUAUCGAAACCAUCCAGCGGUA